RNAcentral lists this ribosomal RNA (468 nucleotides) under uncultured bacterium. RNAcentral's name for it is "partial 16S ribosomal RNA". It matches the Rfam family "Bacterial small subunit ribosomal RNA", at positions 28 to 507 of the family's 1533-position model. The record is from RNAcentral.
GAUGAACGCUGGCGGCGUGCUUAACACAUGCAAGUCGAACGGUGAAGGCGGAGCUUGCUCUGCUGGAUCAGUGGCGAACGGGUGAGUAACAAGUGAGCAAUCUGCCCCUGACUCUGGGAUAAGCGCUGGAAACGGCGUCUAAUACUGGAUACGAGCUGCGAAGGCAUCUUCAGCAGCUGGAAAGAACUUCGGUCAGGGAUGAGCUCGCGGCCUAUCAGCUUGUUGGUGAGGUAACGGCUCACCAAGGCGUCGACGGGUAGCCGGCCUGAGAGGGUGACCGGCCACACUGGGACUGAGACACGGCCCAGACGCCUACGGGAGGCAGCAGUGGGGAAUAUUGCACAAUGGGCGAAAGCCUGAUGCAGCAACGCCGCGUGAGGGACGACGGCCUUCGGGUUGUAAACCUCUUUUAGCAGGGAAGAAGCGAAAGUGACGGUACCUGCAGAAAAAGCGCCGGCUAACUACGUG